This 500-nucleotide ribosomal RNA is filed under the name uncultured bacterium. Its description in RNAcentral is "partial 16S ribosomal RNA". It matches the Rfam family "Bacterial small subunit ribosomal RNA", at positions 30 to 523 of the family's 1533-position model. The record is from RNAcentral.
AUUGAACGCUGGCGGAAUGCUUUACACAUGCAAGUCGAACGGCAGCACGGACUUCGGUCUGGUGGCGAGUGGCGAACGGGUGAGUAAUGUAUCGGAACGUGCCCAGUCGUGGGGGAUAACGUAGUGAAAAUUACGCUAAUACCGCAUACGAUCUAUGGAUGAAAGCGGGGGAUCGCAAGACCUCGCGCGAUCGGAGCGGCCGAUAUCAGAUUAGGUAGUUGGGGGGGUAAAGGCCCACCAAGCCAACGAUCUGUAGCUGGUCUGAGAGGACGACCAGCCACACUGGAACUGAGACACGGUCCAGACUCCUACGGGAGGCGGCAGUGGGGAAUUUUGGACAAUGGGCGAAAGCCUGAUCCAGCCAUUCCGCGUGCAGGAUGAAGGCCCUCGGGUUGUAAACUGCUUUUGUACAGAACGAAAAGGUUUCUACUAAUACUAGGAGCUCAUGACGGUACUGUAAGAAUAAGCACCGGCUAACUACGUGCCAGCCGCCGCCGUAA